This 365-nucleotide RNase P RNA is filed under the name Mariprofundaceae bacterium. RNAcentral's name for it is "RNase P RNA component class A". It matches the Rfam family "Bacterial RNase P class A". Rfam says of the family: Ribonuclease P (RNase P) is a ubiquitous endoribonuclease, found in archaea, bacteria and eukarya as well as chloroplasts and mitochondria. Its best characterised activity is the generation of mature 5'-ends of tRNAs by cleaving the 5'-leader elements of precursor-tRNAs. Lineage: Bacteria; Pseudomonadati; Pseudomonadota; Candidatius Mariprofundia; Mariprofundales; Mariprofundaceae. The record is from RNAcentral.
GGAGUGGCCCGGAUGGUCGCGGCAGGCGUUUUUCGACCUGUCGAGGAAAGUCCGGGCUGCACUGGGCAAGGAUGCCGGAUAACGUCCGGCGGGGGCGACCCCGGGAAAGUGCCACAGAGAGCAGACCGCCGGGCAUGGCCCGGUAAGGGUGAAAGGGUGCGGUAAGAGCGCACCGCCCCGCGCGGCAACGGGCGGGGGCACGGUAAACCCCAUCCGCAGCAAGGCCAAAUAGGGAAGCAUCCGGCGUGGCCCGCGUCGCUUCCGGGUAGGCUGCUAGAAUGCGCCAGCAAUGGCGCAUCCAGAGGAAUGACCAUCAUCCGUCAUUUGGACGGAUACAGAACCCGGCUUACAGGGCCGCUCCGCUU